AUUGAACGCUGGCGGCAGGCCUAACACAUGCAAGUCGAACGGUAACAGGAAACAGCUUGCUGUUUCGCUGACGAGUGGCGGACGGGUGAGUAAUGUCUGGGAAACUGCCUGAUGGAGGGGGAUAACUACUGGAAACGGUAGCUAAUACCGCAUAACGUCGCAAGACCAAAGAGGGGGACCCUCGGGCCUCUUGCCAUCUGAUGUGCCCAGAUGGGAUUAGCUUGUUGGUGGGGUAACGGCUCACCAAGGCGACGAUCCCUAGCUGGUCUGAGAGGAUGACCAGCCACACUGGAACUGAGACACGGUCCAGACUCCUACGGGAGGCAGCAGUGGGGAAUAUUGCACAAUGGGCGCAAGCCUGAUGCAGCCAUGCCGCGUGUAUGAAGAAGGCCUUCGGGUUGUAAAGUACUUUCAGCGGGGAGGAAGGGAGUAAAGUUAAUACCUUUGCUCAUUGACGUUACCCGCAGAAGAAGCACCGGCUAACUCCGUG
This 490-nucleotide ribosomal RNA is filed under the name uncultured bacterium. RNAcentral describes it as "partial 16S ribosomal RNA". It matches the Rfam family "Bacterial small subunit ribosomal RNA", at positions 30 to 507 of the family's 1533-position model. The record is from RNAcentral.